Molecule: unclassified non-coding RNA, 365 nt
Filed under: Hevea brasiliensis (rubber tree)
Lineage: Eukaryota; Viridiplantae; Streptophyta; Magnoliopsida; Malpighiales; Euphorbiaceae
Source: RNAcentral
GGAAAUUAGAAGGAAUAAAUGAAUAUAUAUAUAUAUAGAUAUAGAUAUAUGUAGAAGACAAUGAAUCUUAAAUCAAUUACUCUGUUGAUGGGACCUGAAAUUCUAUAAACAAGCAAAAUGAAAAGAUCAAAUCUCCACAAACUUUUACCUCCAAUAAUCACUUACUGCUGCUGCCUUGGAUUCCUACCUUGUGAAAGCAAUAUGCUGAAAUGAACAAAUCAAAGACCCAAACUUACACUAUACAAGAAAAUAGGCAUUCUUUAAAUAUGUCCAAAGGCAUCCAUACCCUUGGCUUGAGGAUCUUAUUGCUCAAUCUGAAGCAUAUUACGGGACAUCGCUAGCAUCAGUCAAGAUUGAUCUUAAAC